CUACCCUGGGGAUAACAGGCUUAUCUCCCCCAAGAGUCCACAUCGACGGGGAGGUUUGGCACCUCGAUGUCGGCUCAUCACAUCCUGGGGCUGUAGUAGGGCCCAAGGGUUGGGCUGUUCGCCCAUUAAAGUGGUACGCGAGCUGGGUUCAGAACGUCGUGAGACAGUUCGGUCCCUAUCCGUCGCAGGCGUAGGAAAUUU
This 201-nucleotide ribosomal RNA is filed under the name Clostridioides difficile. RNAcentral describes it as "partial 23S ribosomal RNA". It matches the Rfam family "Bacterial large subunit ribosomal RNA", at positions 2463 to 2663 of the family's 2925-position model. Lineage: Bacteria; Bacillati; Bacillota; Clostridia; Peptostreptococcales; Peptostreptococcaceae. The record is from RNAcentral.